AGCAGCUAUCCUUUUGCAUUCAGAAGAAAACAGAAUACCUGCAUGCAAAGCCAAUCCCCCCGUAAUAGGACGGCCAUGGUUUCACCUGCACCUGCUGCAAGCAACUCCAGGCUUAGCACAGCUCUGUGCAGCAGGCAGGAGACUCCUGAGAAGGGGCCCCUGGUGGGGGUGGUAGCAAAAGUUCUACCCACAUCAUACCGUUGCAGCACACAAGAGCAGGAUUUAUUACACUACAGAAUCCAGGAACGGCACUGCAUAUUCUCAAGCGCCAUCUACCGGUAUUUUACCUGAGAACUGCUCGUAUGCAUACAAUCACCCUUUAUUUUGAAUUAAGCCCUACAUAAGGAAAAGACAAGGGUGUGAGUGACAUGCCAAAAGAUCCACAGUUACGUGGGAGGGAAGAGAUGCACUGCUUUAGCACUGCAUGUUGGGAAAGGCAUUCAACCUGCACCUGGUCACCUCAACACAUCAGACAUACGCAAAGAUUUAGACUGUAUGUCCGUCAGUGUCGUUCUCGCUCACCUUUGAAGCUUCUGCACUCACUGGAUAACACCUAUGGCAUUCACCAAUUAGGAGAGACAAUGAAGUCACCAUAUGCCAAGAUCCAUGAAGGUGUUCAGACCAUUCAUCUCUGUGCAGAAGACCUAGGACAAGUUAGACAGUCUAAAUUUUGUUCAUAUGGAAUAAAACCUACAGAGGACAGCAAUGUGAC
Long non-coding RNA from Gallus gallus (chicken), 712 nucleotides. NCBI's taxonomy places the organism in Eukaryota, Metazoa, Chordata, Aves, Galliformes, Phasianidae. The record is from Ensembl.